UUCGAUUUUCUCCAUUUGUAGGAAAGCUGAGACUUCAUUAUGUACUUGGAUAUACUACUUUGAUUGGUUAAUGGGUAUUGGGGUUUCUGAUGAAUUAUGCUUAUGAACUUGAAAAUGUAUUUCAAAUGUGAGUUUUUAGAGAAAGCAUUUGUUUAAUGCAUGUGCUCAUAGAGGUGUGAAUUUGGUCUGGAUAAAAGUGGGUCUGGAGUGAUCUUAAAGAAGACUAAGAUGGGUAGUAGGAGAUUGCAUUAUGGCACGAUGCUUGGUUAAUGAAUAAGGUGUUGAGGAAAUGGAUUGUUCUGGUCUUACUCUCAACAACAGCUUGGGAUCAAGUGAUGAGUUUAAUCCAACAAAAAUGGGUAAUAUGGAAAAUCUUUGAGAUUUUGUGGUACUGAUGUCUUAAGUUUUGGUAAGGAUAUUUGGAAAUGGCCACUUUCAAACUCUUGGUGGUUUUUCUGGCAUCUUCUCUGUGGGUUGUGAAGGAAAUUUGGGUUGCUGCUGCCUUUUGUACAAUGGUGGAGAUAGAGUUGUUUUUGAGGAGUCUGGUAUUGACAGGUGGUUUGAGCUUUAUGGGUCAAAUUCUGCAAUUCUUUGGGAUAACGAGCAGGAUAAUUAAACUUGUGAGAGAAAUUCAGUGUACUUUGGAUCUUCCAGUUAAAGGCUUUAUUGUCGUUUGUUGCGAUGGCUUUAUUUUGCCAGAAAUCACUUUGGUCUUGUGUUAAGAGCUGUAGCUGGGUUUUGGCUGUGCUACUAACUUCAUAGCUGAAAUUCAUCUGGUGUUUACUUUGGGGUAGGCCUAUAGUUGGGAGUUGAAGCUGGUUUUUAUUUCGCCAGACUCAAGUGCAGCUAUUCAUGCUUUUACGGCAAGUUAAUAAUCUUGACUCAAGUGCAGCUGUUCAUGCUUUUAUGGCAAGUAAAUUACCUUGAUAUGGGAAUUUAAGUUAGGAAGAUCUGGAAAAUGAAGACUGCAGUCAAAGAGAAUGUGGAUAUGGUACCAUACAAAUGAAUGAAUGAUCCCGAAUACCUGAUGGAGAGUAACCGUAAGUUUAUUAGACAACCCUCCUUCACAAGUUCAGCUGUGCUAGAUGACCCACACAGAGGGAUUCGCUCCAGUAUGCUCGAGGAUAACGAAUCACAAACUGUAAGCCAUUCUGACUAGAUUACGGUUUAAAUCUGGGUAUUGAAUUUCCUAUUUGCUAUUUACUCUCAUGUUGGCUGAGAGAACAUCCAGGCACGUAACUCACACUCCCCAUAUGGCCAAUGAGUUUGAUUAGCUUUAACUAGUAAUCAUAUUCUAGCUGAGUAAGUCGAAGUAUUACACCUUUCUUGACAAUGGAGGCAGUUUAUGGAGACCAUAACAAGUGAGACCAGGGGAAGGAUUCAGGCGAUGAUUCUUGUUUCCGUUUCACAUAGGAUAGGACCCUGGAUUUUGACUUUUUUGAUUAAAGACGUUGCAGGCAAACCAAGGACUAAUAGGAUCAGGGAGCAAUAGCAUAUCAAAACUUAUCCUUCAAAAUUGAUUGCAAUCUUAUGGACUGUAAGUAACUUGGAGAAAUUUUAUUUUGUGGUUGUAGUACGAAUUUCAACUGAUAUUGGAAUCGGGUAUAAUAGAUUUAUAGUUGGUGUAAAACUUUCGUAGCAUCAGUCAAAAAAUAGUAAAAGUGAUCGACAACCCUCAGAAAAUGAAUGGGUGUACAGUCCUUAGUUAUGAUGCGUUUGAUUCUGAUUUCCAUUCUCUCAUCCACUGACAUUUUUUAUAUACUUGAAAAAAAUGAACAAGUAAUGUUAAUGUCUGCCUUCAACAUCUGAUUCCUGAAUUGUAUACUUCAUAUACUUGUAGUAAUUUUAUUACAUUAGUCUGAGCUUGCUGAUUGUGUCUCAUUGACGACUUUGACCUUGGAAACCAUAGUUUUACAGGGUCAAUUUCAGUCAGAAUUGUUGAUCUAGUUCAGUUGCAAUGUUUGGUUCUUUUGCGUAAUGAGCUUACUAAAGCAAUACCGUUGAAGGCGUCAUCUUAUUUUCGGCAGAUUAAUAUAUCGUAUUGCCGGUUUGAAUACCUGAAGAACUCAACUGACUGCCUCACUUGGAUUUAAUCUCAAAUGUCCACCCACUGGAGUGUUGCCAUUGUCUCUAUGCUAAAAUGGCGCACUGGAGGCUAUACUCUGACGAAUUUUCUUAGAAUACUGAAAGCUUGUUUCUGUAG
Molecule: long non-coding RNA, 2203 nt
Organism: Papaver somniferum (opium poppy)
Lineage: Eukaryota; Viridiplantae; Streptophyta; Magnoliopsida; Ranunculales; Papaveraceae
Exons: 3
Source: RefSeq, a predicted model, not a curated record